ACUUUAAGGUGUGAACGCUUUAAGAUGUGAACGCUUUAAGAUGUGAACGCUUUAAGAUGUGAACGCUUUAAGGUGUGAACUCUUUAAGAUGUGAACGCUUUAAGGUGUGAACGCUUUAAGGUGUGAACGCUUUAAGGUGUGAACGCUUUAAGGUGUGAACGCUUUAAGGUGUGAACGCUUUAAGGUGUGAACGCUUUAAGAUGUGAACGCUUUAAGGUGUGAACUCUUUAAGAUGUGAACGCUUUAAGAUGUGAACGCUUUAAGGUGUGAACGCUUUAAGAUGUGAACGCUUUAAGGUGUGAACUCUUUAAGAUGUGAACGCUUUAAGGUGUGAACGCUUUAAGAUGUGAACUCUUUAAGAUGUGAACGCUUUAAGAUGUGAACGCUUUAAGGUGUGAACGCUUUAAGGUGUGAACGCUUUAUGGUGUGAACGCUUUAAGGUGUGAACUCUUUAAGAUGUGAACACUUUAAGGUGUGAACGCUUUAAGGUGUGAACGCUUUAUGGUGUGAACGCUUUAAGAUGUGAACUCUUUAAGAUGUGAACUCUUUAAGGUGUGAACUCUUUAAGGUGUGAACACUUUAAGGUGUGAACACUUUAAUGGUGUGAACGCUUUAAGGUGUGAACGCUUUAAGGUGUGAACGCUUUAAGAUGUGAACACUUUAAUGGUGUGAACACUUUAAUGGUGUGAACGCUUUAAGAUGUGAACGCUUUAAGAUGUGAACUCUUUAAGGUGUGAACGCUUUAAGAUGUGAACGCUUUAAGAUGUGAACUCUUUAAGCUGUGAACGCUUUAAGAUGUGAACACUUUAAUGGUGUGAACGCUUUAAGGUGUGAACGCUUGAAGGUGUGAACGCUUUAAGAUGUGAACGCUUUAAUGGUGUGAUCGCUUUAAGGUGUGAACGCUUUAAGAUGUGAACUCUUUAAGGUGUGAACGCUUUAAGAUGUGAACGCUUUAAGAUGUGAACUCUUUAAGCUGUGAACGCUUUAAGAUGUGAACACUUUAAUGGUGUGAACGCUUUAAGGUGUGAACGCUUUAAGAUGUGAACGCUUUAAGAUGUGAACUCUUUAAGGUGUGAACGCUUUAAGAUGUGAACGCUUUAAGAUGUGAACUCUUUAAGCUGUGAACGCUUUAAGAUGUGAACACUUUAAUGGUGUGAACGCUUUAAGGUGUGAACGCUUGAAGGUGUGAACGCUUUAAGAUGUGAACGCUUUAAUGGUGUGAUCGCUUUAAGGUGUGAACGCUUUAAGAUGUGAACUCUUUAAGGUGUGAACGCUUUAAGAUGUGAACUCUUUAAGGUGUGAACUCUUUAAGGUGUGAACACUUUAAUGGUGUGAACGCUUUAAGAUGUGAACUCUUUAAGAUGUGAACUCUUUAAGGUGUGAACACUUUAAGAUGUGAACGCUUUAAGAUGUGAACGCUUUAAGAUGUGAACUCUUUAAGGUGUGAACUCUUUAAGGUGUGAACGCUUUAAUGGUGUGAUCGCUUUAAGGUGUGAACGCUUUAAGAUGUGAACGCUUUAAGGUGUGAACGCUUUAAGGUGUGAACUCUUUAAGGUGUGAACGCUUUAAGGUGUGAACGCUUUAAGAUGUGAACUCUUUAAGGUGUGAACGCUUUAAGGUGUGAACGCUUUAAGGUGUGAUCGCUUUAAUGGUGUGAACGCUUUAAGAUGUGAACUCUUUAAGAUGUGAACGCUUUAAGGUGUGAUCGCUUUAAUGGUGUGAACGCUUUAAGAUGUGAACUCUUUAAGGUGUGAACGCUUUAAGGUGUGAACUCUUUAAGGUGUGAACUCUUUAAGAUGUGAACUCUUUAAGGUGUGAACGCUUGCAGGUGUGAACUCUUUAAGGUGUGAACUCUUUAAGGUGUGAACGCUUGCAGGUGUGAAUGCAGCAUCAACCUGGCAAAUGUUUCAAGCUUCACACAAACCAAACCAACCACCACAGACCAGGCAGGAGGGGAGUGUGGGAGUUGGGGGGGAGGAGAGGGGAGGAGAAGUGGGGGAGAUAGAGAGAAGC
Epinephelus fuscoguttatus (brown-marbled grouper) is the source of this 2013-nucleotide long non-coding RNA. RefSeq lists it as uncharacterized. The transcript has 5 exons. Lineage: Eukaryota; Metazoa; Chordata; Actinopteri; Perciformes; Serranidae. The record is from RefSeq and is a predicted model, not a curated record.